GUGGAGUAAUAGCCUACCAAGGCAAUGAUCUAUAGCUGAUCUGAGAGGAUGAUCAGCCACACUGGAACUGAGAUACGGUCCAGACUUCUACGGGAGGCAGCAGUGGGGAAUAUUGGACAAUGGGCGAAAGCCUGAUCCAGCCAUGUCGCAUGAGUGAAGAAGGCCCUUGGGUUGUAAAGCUCUUUUAGUGAGGAAGAUAAUGACGGUACUCACAGAAGAAGUCCUGGCUAACUCCGUGCCAGCAGCCGCGGUAAUACGGAGAGGGCUAGCGUUAUUCGGAAUUAUUGGGCGUAAAGGGCGCGUAGGCUGAUUAAUAAGUUAAAAGUGAAAUCCCGAGGCUUAACCUUGGAAUUGCUUUUAAAACUAUUAAUCUAGAGAUUGAAAGAGGAUAGAGGAAUUCCUGAUGUAGAGGUAAAAUUCGUAAAUAUUAGGAGGAACACCAGUGGCGAAGGCGUCUAUCUGGUUCAAAUCUGACGCUGAGGCGCGAAGGCGUGGGGAGCAAACAGGAUUAGAUACCCUGGUAGUCCACGCUGUAAACGAUGAAUGUUAAAUAUGGGAAGUUUACUUU
This 568-nucleotide ribosomal RNA is filed under the name Wolbachia endosymbiont of Nilaparvata lugens. RNAcentral describes it as "bacterial SSU rRNA". It matches the Rfam family "Bacterial small subunit ribosomal RNA", at positions 252 to 840 of the family's 1533-position model. Lineage: Bacteria; Pseudomonadati; Pseudomonadota; Alphaproteobacteria; Rickettsiales; Anaplasmataceae. The record is from RNAcentral.